Molecule: ribosomal RNA, 834 nt
Filed under: uncultured archaeon
Lineage: Archaea
Description: bacterial SSU rRNA
Rfam family: Archaeal small subunit ribosomal RNA
Source: RNAcentral
GGUUACUGCUAUCGGAGUUCGAUUAAGCCAUGCGAGUCUAAAGGUUUCUUCGGAAACCUUGGCGGACUGCUCAGUAACACGUGGAUAACCUACCCUUGGGACUGGAAUAACCCCGGGAAACUGGGGAUAAUACCGGAUAGAUCAGGGAUGCUGGAAUGCACCUUGAUCCAAAGCUCCGGCGCCCAAGGAUGGGUCUGCGGCCUAUCAGGUAGUAGUGGGUGUAACGUACCUACUAGCCAACGACGGGUACGGGUUGUGAGAGCAAGAGCCCGGAGAUGGAUUCUGAGACACGAAUCCAGGCCCUACGGGGUGCAGCAGGCGCGAAACCUUUACAAUGUGCGAAAGCAUGAUAAGGGAACUCCGAGUGCCAGCAUCUAAUGUUGGCUGUCCUUGUGCCUAAAACGCACAAGAUAGCAAGGGCCGGGUAAGACCGGUGCCAGCCGCCGCGGUAACACCGGCGGCCCGAGUGGUAGCCGCUAUUAUUGGGUCUAAAGGGUCCGUAGCCGGUUCGAUAAGUCCUCUGGGAAAUCUGGUUGCUUAACAAUCAGACUGCCAAGGGAUACUGUCGAACUUGAGACCGGGAGAGGUAAGAGGUACUUCAGGGGUAGGAGUGAAAUCUUGUAAUCCCUGGGGGACCAUCCGUGGCGAAGGCGUCUUACCAGAACGGGUCUGACGGUGAGGGACGAAAGCUGGGGGCGCAAACCGGAUUAGAUACCCGGGUAGUCCCAGCCGUAAACGAUGCUCGCUAUGUGUCAGGUACGGUGUGACCGUAUCUGGUGCCGUAGGGAAGCCGUGAAGCGAGCCACCUGGGAAGUACGGCCGCAAGGCUGAAAC